GGAGUUGUGGCUCAGUGGUAGAGCGCUUCCCUGGCACGUGUGAAGCCCUGAGUUCGAUCCUCAGCACUACA
Molecule: transfer RNA, 71 nt
Filed under: Marmota monax (woodchuck)
Lineage: Eukaryota; Metazoa; Chordata; Mammalia; Rodentia; Sciuridae
Description: tRNA.Ala
Rfam family: tRNA (bases 6-66)
About the family: Transfer RNA (tRNA) molecules are approximately 80 nucleotides in length.
Source: RNAcentral